UACGGGGGGAGCAAGCGUUGUUCGGAUUUACUGGGCGUAAAGGGCGCGUAGGCGGCCAGCACAAGUCAGUUGUGAAAUCUCCGAGCUUAACUCGGAACGGUCAACUGAUACUGUGCGGCUAGAGUGCAGAAGGGGCAACUGGAAUUCUUGGUGUAGCGGUGAAAUGCGUAGAUAUCAAGAGGAACACCUGCGGCGAAGGCGGGUUGCUGGGCUGACACUGACGCUGAGGCACGAAGGUCAGGGGAGCAAACGGG
RNAcentral lists this ribosomal RNA (254 nucleotides) under uncultured bacterium. RNAcentral's name for it is "partial 16S ribosomal RNA". It matches the Rfam family "Bacterial small subunit ribosomal RNA", at positions 524 to 776 of the family's 1533-position model. The record is from RNAcentral.